UGGGUUUCUGUGUGUUUGAAGCCACCAAGCUCACGAUAUGUAUGAUGUAUCUUGUAUGCCAGUGGCAUUAUUGUUCUUUCAGCAAGCAGCUGCAUAUGGUGGCUUUGUGCGUGGUUAUCCUCGACCGGCCCUGCUGCUUGCACCGCUACAUAAUGCUUGGUGGUUUUGCGGCUAUAUUAUAUUCAUAAAAUAAUAUUUUUAGCAGUAGUUGGUUAUCGUAGAAAAGAGCUAUAAUAAAAUCAGCUAAUUUAAGAUAACAAAAAUGGAUGAAAAGGUUAUUAGAGGCCUUAUGAAAGUUCCUCGUGAUAAAUAAAAGAUAAUCUAUCAAAUGCACCUAUACCCUUGAUACCCUUC
This 354-nucleotide long non-coding RNA is filed under the name Setaria viridis. RNAcentral's name for it is "long non-coding RNA (SVIR_LNC008497)". The record is from RNAcentral. Lineage: Eukaryota; Viridiplantae; Streptophyta; Magnoliopsida; Poales; Poaceae.